Molecule: non-coding RNA, 3262 nt
Organism: Rattus norvegicus (Norway rat)
Lineage: Eukaryota; Metazoa; Chordata; Mammalia; Rodentia; Muridae
Source: RefSeq, a predicted model, not a curated record
CUUCCACGCUCGGAGGAUGGGAGGGGUCUGAGGUGGAAAAAGAGGGGCCGAGGAGAGGAGCAAGACAGGAGUGAAGAAGGAAGUGGCACUGCGAGACCAAGAUGGCAGGGAAAGGGCCAUGCGGUUGGGAAUUAGGCAGACCAGCAUCUUCAGGCUAGAAUAGGCCAGAACUCGCUCAGCUUAUUUACUCGAAGCUUUUUUUUGGUCAUUAUUUUAGAGCAAGGGCAGGCAUAGAAAAACUCCAUACUUUUACACUUGUGUUGAAGGCCUGGUCUACACGCAGCAGUGAUCAGGGAUGAGGCUUGUGGGAAGUCUUUGGAUCGCAAGGGCUCUGACCUCACGUGUGGAUGAAUCCAUUGAUGAACUCAUAAUUUGAUAGUGUUGUAUGGGAGGGUACAUGCACGAGGCUCUGGGUUCCGUCCCCAGGGAUAACAGCAAAACCAUUGCAGAAGUUCUUGAUCUGAUCGUGCCUCCUGCUAUUGCUUACCAGAGACAGGUGCCCAUGGCACAACGCAGGGCUGCUGCACUCAAACUCGGCCGCCCUUCAUUUAAUUCAAAGGAAGCUCAAUGUUGUUCUUCAGCUGGCUGAGGACACAGCGAUGGCGUAGCUCAUUUGCUUCAUUUUCUACAUGGAAAGAUACAGUUUGAUUUGGAAAGUGACUUGAUUUGAGACAGCUGCCUGAGGUCUCUUCCACUUUCGGCUCUUCUGCCUCACUUCCCCUCUCAGGAGCCACUGGUCAUGAUUGUGGGCAUCUGUGUCACAACAUGGCUCACAGAGACCACCAGGAUGCUCAAGACGAAGGACUAGGAGAUGCCACCGGAUGGUCCUCGGGACAUUUAUCAUCACCAGAGUCACCUGAUGUAGAGAGGGAGAGUAAGGCAUCCUCAGUGGACUUUGGGGGACCCACUUAUUAAUGGACAAUAGACAUAAGGAUCAGGAAACAGAGAGACAGAGGUUUCCUUCCCCCUCAAGUGGAAGCCCCUACUAAAAGUCAAACUGAUGUGGGCUUAGAAAGGAAAAAGGCCUCCUUCUUAAAAACGUCACCUGGGCGGGUAUGACUUCCGAGUGCAGCGUCACCUGCCAAGACCUCAAAGAUGAACAUUGCAAUAGAUGGACUGCGGCCACUCAGGAUACUGGGGCAGCAUCUCCUCAGGAUCCUUCCAUUGCUCAGGCCUUUGCAGCAGCAGUAGAAACAGAAGGGCUUGUUUCAAUGGGCUGAGAAGGGACACUGGGAAGGUGAGUGCCCUAAGUGUGUGUGGGGAGGUGGGCUCCACCAUAAAUGCCACCCCACACACCAGAGUCUGUCCCUGAUGCUGUAGGGGCUUCUACUGGAGGAGAGAUUGUCACUCCCAUUAUGAUGGCAAACCACUGGAGCUUUCAAACUUAAAAUGGGGGUAGCCCUCAGCCCUGACAGUAAAAGGGAAAACCACUUCAAUAGGGGUUUUGUGGGUUUUCAGCGUCUCAGAAGGUUCCCACCCAAAGAUAACCGUGAAAAUAGGUGACAAACCAUUCAAAUGCCUCAUUGAUACUGGAACAGUUAAAACAAUAUUAAGCCAACACUCUUGUUGGUACCACAAGGCUGUGGCCUAACUCCUGGGCCUCGGCUUUAGGCCUAGAAGUUGCUCUCAUGCCUUGACCACUGAACAAGCCUGCAAAUGGGAGGUUCCUGAUGGGUCUACAGGAAUGAUACACCUUCUUGUGGCCAAUGUCAUCUCCAAUCUUCUAGGAAGAGACGUCCUGGAAGCCCUGGAAGUUACUCUCACUAGUCAGCCAAAAGGAAAUUACAGUAGGGUAAAUGAUUAUAGUCAUAGUAAUAAUUAUACUCAUAAAAAAUUUUAAAACCCUCACCCGGGUCAACCCCAAUUCCAAGGGCUGCUGUUAAAUUUAGCACUCCCUGCCUUGACUGGCUCUCUAAUGAGCCUGUCUGGGUUGAACAAAGGCCUCUAUCGAGGGAGAAACUUCAAGCGCUCACAGUUAGUAAAAAAGAAAACAACUUCUGCUUCACCAUAUUCCCCCUUCCUGCAGUCCACGGAACACUCAAGUACUCACCAUAAAAACUGCUCUGGGGAUUUGAGACAGCUACAAGAUUUAAGGGCAAUUGGUGUAGGUUUGGGGGUCUCCCCAAAGGGGGCUACCCCUCAUCUCCUCGAUUUCCACCACCAUUCCUCUCUUAGCAAUAGACAUUAAAGACUGCCUUUCUCUAUCCCUCUCCACCUGUGGGAUUGCCAAUGCUUUGUGUUCUCAAUAACUCCCCGUUAACAAUUCUGGGCCAACCUUACAAUAGGAACGGACAGUCUUCCCCCAAGGAAUGCAACAGUCCCACCAUCUGCAGGAAGCCGUUGCCACAGCGCUAAGACCCUACUUAGACUUAGACGAAGCUCUCCAUAGUUAUCAUCGUGUGAAUGAUAUCUCCAUGUGGGGACACUCUUCCACCUCACCUCCCAACUUAAGGAUCGGUUAAUAUCUUUCCUAUCUCCCCUAGGAUUUAAAAUGGCUCCCCAAAAAAUAGAGCUUAUUCCUUCCAACGCAUUCUUGGGAAUACGCCCCCUUUACUCCCUUUGAGGGAAUCUUUCCCUUCCCUCAAAACUUAACUCUUGCCUCUCUCCAAAGCUUUUGGUGGACAUUUAAUUGGCUUCAACCAUGGCUUUCCCUUCCUCCCUGCAGCCUCUCUUUCACCUCCUAAGACCCCCUCCUCCCCAGGAUCUCUCUCUCCUGAGGCUUUAGGUGACUUUAGGUGCCUUAAACAUAGUCCUGAAAGACACGGCACUCAUCAGGUACGAUCCAACAAUACUGGUAUAGCUUCUUAUUCUUGCUCUUAGGAGAGCACCGUAUCAGCCCCAGGGAGUGCUGGGAUGGCUCUACAUGCUGGUUAGCAGUGCACCUAGAAUUUUUUUUUUUUUUUUUUUUGGUUCUUUUUUCCCGAGCUGGGGACCGAACCCAGGGCCUUGCGUUUCCUAGGCAAGCGCUCUAACCACUGAGCCAAAUCCCCAGCCUUGCACCUAGAAUUUUAACGGAGGUAGAUGCACUUGCUGUUAUGAUUAGAAAUGUCAGAGACAGAGCCCUACAAACCAUAAGAACAGAACCCAAUAUCCUUGUCACCCCUUUAUCUCUUUCUGAUAUUCAAGGUGCUACCCAGAAAUCACUUCUGUUUUGCUUUUUUGGCCUAAUAGGAUUCCUGGGACAAACUGAUAAUCACUACCCUAAUGAAAGAUGGGUUUCUGCUCUAUCUCUGUCGUGGUGAAUUUCCCCACCCCCACCCCA